RNAcentral lists this long non-coding RNA (896 nucleotides) under Lepeophtheirus salmonis (salmon louse). RNAcentral describes it as "uncharacterized LOC121128253". The record is from RNAcentral. Lineage: Eukaryota; Metazoa; Arthropoda; Copepoda; Siphonostomatoida; Caligidae.
UAAAUCACACACAUAAAUUAUUUUAAUACUACUUAGGAUAGUAUUUUUGUAUCUAUCUAUGCUGAAAGCAUUUUUUAGUGUACAUACUUGAUCUAAGAAGUAAAAAUGUAAACAAGAAUGCACGUCAUUGUAAAAAAAGUAUUUUUAUAGAGCGUGACUUAUAAGUCUUAGGACAGCAACUUCAACUUAAUAUUUCUCCUAGACGAGUGAAUAUUUUUUUAAUUUUGUUUGCUGUAUAUGACUUACAAAACCUCCAUUUUUGUUUCUUGUCAAUAAAUUUUUUUCUAAAAAGUGCCCUUGAUCCCAUAACAAUGCUAUCAUGAAGCCGAAGUGUGUCAUCAUUUCACUUAAUUUGGAAGGAAAGAGCUGUAGGACCAUUACCUACAUUGUCUACGAAAGCGGGCCCCAGUGAGGGUCUAGGGUGUUAAAGUCAAUCAACGAGUCUAUUUGGAAUUAUUACAGUCCCAAGUACUGUCCAAGCCCCAAAGACGAGUCCUACUGCUUCCAGCAGGACGGAAUACCUUCAUAUAAUGGAAAGUUUGUGCAAAAGUGGUGCCAAACCACUUUCGAUCACUUUGGAAGGCACUAUAUGUGGCUCCCUUUUUCCCCAGAUAUCAACGUAAAGGACUUCUCCAAUAGUCUAUUCUGGAGAAAGAGGCUGGUAUGACUUUCUACUGCAGUUUCAAUGACAUGAAGGCCGCCAUAAUGUCUGCGUGGGAUAACCUGUCGUAGAAGACCAUUCGUACAGCCUGUAAAGCAGUUUUAAAGCGUCUAUAGUUGCUACAAAUGGCGGCUAUAGGGGAUGAACUUGCUCUCUUUUUGAUGGAAAUUUUACGCUGAUUGCAAUGAUGUAAAAAUAUGUUUCGGCAAAUAAAUAUUUGUGUACUUUCUUGGUA